AUUGAACGCUGGCGGCAGGCUUAACACAUGCAAGUCGAGCGGGGUGAUGGUGCUUGCACUAUCACUUAGCGGCGGACGGGUGAGUAAUGCUUAGGAAUCUGCCUAUUAGUGGGGGACAACAUCUCGAAAGGGAUGCUAAUACCGCAUACGUCCUACGGGAGAAAGCAGGGGAUCACUUGUGACCUUGCGCUAAUAGAUGAGCCUAAGUCGGAUUAGCUAGCUGGUGGGGUAAAGGCCUACCAAGGCGACGAUCUGUAGCGGGUCUGAGAGGAUGAUCCGCAACACUGGGACUGAGACACGGCCCAGACUCCUACGGGAGGAAGCAGUGGGGAAUAUUGGACAAUGGGGGGAACCCUGAUCCAGCCAUGCCGCGUGUGUGAAGAAGGCCUUAUGGUUGUAAAGCACUUUAAGCGAGGAGGAGGCUCUUUUGGUUAAUACCCAAGAUGAGUGGACGUUACUCGCAGAAUAAGCACCGGCUAACUCUGUGCCAGCCGCCGCGGUAA
Molecule: ribosomal RNA, 503 nt
Filed under: uncultured bacterium
Lineage: Bacteria
Description: partial 16S ribosomal RNA
Rfam family: Bacterial small subunit ribosomal RNA
Source: RNAcentral